Molecule: ribosomal RNA, 598 nt
Filed under: Goniozus mesolevis
Lineage: Eukaryota; Metazoa; Arthropoda; Insecta; Hymenoptera; Bethylidae
Description: eukaryotic LSU rRNA
Rfam family: Eukaryotic large subunit ribosomal RNA
Source: RNAcentral
AAACCCGAGGAACCCAAAAGAUCGAAGGGGGAGAUUCAUCGUCAGCGGUGCAGGCUGCUCGAUGACUCGCGAUGUCGCGGGCUACGGCCCGACGUCACGCGGUCGUCGUGGCAUUGUCCGGUAACGUCGGCGUGCACUUCUCCCCUUGUAGAACGUCGCGACCCGUUGGGUGUCGUUCUAAGGCCCGGAUGGCUGCCUGUCUCGACGUUUCGGCGCAGAGACAGACCACCGGUCGCCAGAACGGCUGCCCGGCGGUACACACACGGUAUAGAGCCGCAGCAAUUUCGAUUGCGUCGGACCCGCCGCAAGCGAGGCCAGUGUCUCCCGGGAAUGCGGAUUUAAUGCCGCCCCCGGUCCUGGCCAGCUGUUGGUAGGCGGUGUUCUCCGACUGGCCGAUUUUACCGGUCGGCGACGCUACUGCUUUGGGUAAUCUCAGGACCCGUCUUGAAACACGGACCAAGGAGUCUAACAUGUACGCGAGUCAUUGGGACCGCAUACCUAAAGGCAAAAUGAAAGUGAAGGUCGACCUCGCGUCGACCGAGGGAGGAUGGAUCGCGUUACGAUGCGACCCCGCACUCCCGGGGCGUCUCGUUCUCAU